ACUCUAAUAGUUUAUCAAAACAUUGGCCUUGUAAGCCA
RNAcentral lists this transfer RNA (38 nucleotides) under Podargus ocellatus marmoratus. RNAcentral's name for it is "partial tRNA-Thr". Lineage: Eukaryota; Metazoa; Chordata; Aves; Caprimulgiformes; Podargidae. The record is from RNAcentral.